GCCUACGGGGGGCAGCAAUCAGGAAUAUUGCGCAAUGGGGGAAACCCUGACGCAGCGACGCCGCGUGCGGGACGAAGGCCUUCGGGUCGUAAACCGCUGUUGUGGGAGACGAAGGACCGCUUACGGGCGGGAGAGACGGUAUCUCACAAGGAAGCCCCGGCUAACUACGUGCCAGCAGCCGCGGUAAUACGUAGGGGGCGAGCGUUGUCCGAAGUUACUGGGCGUAAAGAGCGCGUAGGCGGUCUCUUAAGUGAUUGGUGAAAUCCCCGAGCUCAACUCGGGAGGGUCUGAUCAUACUGGGAGACUGGAGUGUGGGAGAGGUGAGCGGAACUCCUGGUGUAGCGGUGAUAUGCGUAGAGAUCAGGAAGAACACCCGUAGCGAAGGCGGCUCACUGGACCACAACUGACGCUGAGGCGCGAAAGCCAGGGGAGCGAACGGGAUUAGAUACCCCGGUAGU
Molecule: ribosomal RNA, 458 nt
Filed under: uncultured bacterium
Lineage: Bacteria
Description: bacterial SSU rRNA
Rfam family: Bacterial small subunit ribosomal RNA
Source: RNAcentral